RNAcentral lists this unclassified non-coding RNA (306 nucleotides) under plant metagenome. RNAcentral describes it as "partial contains 5.8S ribosomal RNA, internal transcribed spacer 2, and large subunit ribosomal RNA". The stretch from base 1 to 105 matches the Rfam family "5.8S ribosomal RNA", at positions 50 to 154 of the family's 154-position model. The record is from RNAcentral.
GAAAUGCGAUAAGUAGUGUGAAUUGCAGAAUUCAGUGAAUCAUCGAAUCUUUGAACGCACAUUGCGCCCCUUGGUAUUCCAUGGGGCAUGGCUGUUCGAGCGUCAUCUACACCCUCAAGCUCUGCUUGGUGUUGGGCGUCUUUGUCCCGCCUCCGCGCGCGGACUCGCCCCAAAUUCAUUGGCAGCGGUCCUUACCUCCUCUCGCGCAGCACAUUGCGCUUCUCGAGGUGUUGCGGCCCGCGUCCAGAAAGCAAUCGUUACCGUCUUUGACCUCGGAUCAGGUAGGGAUACCCGCUGAACUUAAGC